Molecule: ribosomal RNA, 357 nt
Filed under: uncultured bacterium
Lineage: Bacteria
Description: bacterial SSU rRNA
Rfam family: Bacterial small subunit ribosomal RNA
Source: RNAcentral
AAUGAACGCUGGCGGCAUGCCUAACACAUGCAAGUCGAACGAGACCUUCGGGUCUAGUGGCGCACGGGUGCGUAACGCGUGGGAAUCUGCCCUUGGGUUCGGAAUAACAGUUAGAAAUGACUGCUAAUACCGAAUGAUGUCGUAAGACCAAAGAUUCAUCGCCCAGGGAUGAGCCCGCGUAGGAUUAGCUAGUUGGUGUGGUAAAAGCGCACCAAGGCGACGAUCCUUAGCUGGUCUGAGAGGAUGAUCAGCCACACUGGGACUGAGACACGGCCCAGACUCCUACGGGAGGCAGCAGUGGGGAAGUAUUGGACAAUGGGCGAAAGCCUGAUCCAGCAAUGCCGCGUGAGUGAUGAA